AAAGAAGUAAGCUAAAUUAAGCUACUGGACUCAUGUUCCAGAAAUGGUUUUAAUAACCCUUCUUU
RNAcentral lists this transfer RNA (65 nucleotides) under Vargula tsujii. Its description in RNAcentral is "tRNA-Met". Lineage: Eukaryota; Metazoa; Arthropoda; Ostracoda; Myodocopida; Cypridinidae. The record is from RNAcentral.